RNAcentral lists this ribosomal RNA (1093 nucleotides) under Escherichia fergusonii. Its description in RNAcentral is "bacterial LSU rRNA". It matches the Rfam family "Bacterial large subunit ribosomal RNA", at positions 397 to 1495 of the family's 2925-position model. Lineage: Bacteria; Pseudomonadati; Pseudomonadota; Gammaproteobacteria; Enterobacterales; Enterobacteriaceae. The record is from RNAcentral.
CUGUGAGCUCGAUGAGUAGGGCGGGACACGUGGUAUCCUGUCUGAAUAUGGGGGGACCAUCCUCCAAGGCUAAAUACUCCUGACUGACCGAUAGUGAACCAGUACCGUGAGGGAAAGGCGAAAAGAACCCCGGCGAGGGGAGUGAAAAAGAACCUGAAACCGUGUACGUACAAGCAGUGGGAGCCUCUUUAUGGGGUGACUGCGUACCUUUUGUAUAAUGGGUCAGCGACUUAUAUUCUGUAGCAAGGUUAACCGAAUAGGGGAGCCGAAGGGAAACCGAGUCUUAACUGGGCGUUAAGUUGCAGGGUAUAGACCCGAAACCCGGUGAUCUAGCCAUGGGCAGGUUGAAGGUUGGGUAACACUAACUGGAGGACCGAACCGACUAAUGUUGAAAAAUUAGCGGAUGACUUGUGGCUGGGGGUGAAAGGCCAAUCAAACCGGGAGAUAGCUGGUUCUCCCCGAAAGCUAUUUAGGUAGCGCCUCGUGAAUUCAUCUCCGGGGGUAGAGCACUGUUUCGGCAAGGGGGUCAUCCCGACUUACCAACCCGAUGCAAACUGCGAAUACCGGAGAAUGUUAUCACGGGAGACACACGGCGGGUGCUAACGUCCGUCGUGAAGAGGGAAACAACCCAGACCGCCAGCUAAGGUCCCAAAGUCAUGGUUAAGUGGGAAACGAUGUGGGAAGGCCCAGACAGCCAGGAUGUUGGCUUAGAAGCAGCCAUCAUUUAAAGAAAGCGUAAUAGCUCACUGGUCGAGUCGGCCUGCGCGGAAGAUGUAACGGGGCUAAACCAUGCACCGAAGCUGCGGCAGCGACGCUUAUGCGUUGUUGGGUAGGGGAGCGUUCUGUAAGCCUGCGAAGGUGUGCUGUGAGGCAUGCUGGAGGUAUCAGAAGUGCGAAUGCUGACAUAAGUAACGAUAAAGCGGGUGAAAAGCCCGCUCGCCGGAAGACCAAGGGUUCCUGUCCAACGUUAAUCGGGGCAGGGUGAGUCGACCCCUAAGGCGAGGCCGAAAGGCGUAGUCGAUGGGAAACAGGUUAAUAUUCCUGUACUUGGUGUUACUGCGAAGGGGGGACGGAGAAGGCUAUGUUGGCCGGG